Molecule: ribosomal RNA, 459 nt
Filed under: uncultured bacterium
Lineage: Bacteria
Description: partial 16S ribosomal RNA
Rfam family: Bacterial small subunit ribosomal RNA
Source: RNAcentral
GAUGAACGCUGGCGGCGCGCCUAACACAUGCAAGUCGAACGGCACCCCUCCUCGGAGGGAAGCGAGUGGCGAACGGCUGAGUAACACGUGGAGAACCUGCCCCCUCCCCCGGGAUAGCCGCCCGAAAGGACGGGUAAUACCGGAUACCCCGGGGUGCCGCAUGCCACCCCGGCUAAAGCCCCGACGGGAGGGGAUGGCUCCGCGGCCCAUCAGGUAGACGGCGGGGUGACGGCCCACCGUGCCGACAACGGGUAGCCGGGUUGCGAGACCGACCGGCCAGAUGGGGACGGAGACACGGCCCAGACUCCUACGGGAGGCAGCAGUGGGGAAUCUUGCGCAAUGGGGGGAACCCUGACGCAGCGACGCCGCGUGCGGGACGGAGGCCUUCGGGUCGUAAACCGCUUUCAGCAGGGAAGAGUCAAGACUGUACCUGCAGAAGAAGCCCCGGCUAACUACGUG